RNAcentral lists this ribosomal RNA (433 nucleotides) under uncultured bacterium. RNAcentral's name for it is "partial 16S ribosomal RNA". It matches the Rfam family "Bacterial small subunit ribosomal RNA", at positions 29 to 507 of the family's 1533-position model. The record is from RNAcentral.
AACGAACGCUGGCGGCAUGCCUAACACAUGCAAGUCGAACGAGACCUUCGGGUCUAGUGGCGCACGGGUGCGUAACGCGUGGGAACCUGCCCUUAGGUUCGGAAUAACUCCCCGAAAGGGGUGCUAAUACCGGAUAAUGUCUUCGGACCAAAGAUUUAUCGCCUUUGGAUGGGCCCGCGUUGGAUUAGCUAGUUGGUAGGGUAAAAGCCUACCAAGGCGACGAUCCAUAGCUGGUCUGAGAGGAUGAUCAGCCACACUGGGACUGAGACACGGCCCAGACUCCUACGGGAGGCAGCAGUGGGGAGUAUUGGACGAUGGGCGAAAGCCUGAUCAAGCAAUGCCGCGUGAGUGAUGAAGGCCUUAGGGUUGUAAAGCUCUUUUACCCGGGAUGAUAAUGACAGUACCGGGAGAAUAAGCUCCGGCUAACUCCGUG